This 460-nucleotide ribosomal RNA is filed under the name uncultured bacterium. Its description in RNAcentral is "partial 16S ribosomal RNA". It matches the Rfam family "Bacterial small subunit ribosomal RNA", at positions 338 to 795 of the family's 1533-position model. The record is from RNAcentral.
CCUACGGGAGGCAGCAGUGAGGAAUAUUGGUCAAUGGGCGGAAGCCUGAACCAGCCAAGUAGCGUGCAGGAUGACGGCCCUACGGGUUGUAAACCGCUUUUAUACGGGAAUAACGCGCCUUACGUGUAGGGCUUUGCAUGUACCGUAUGAAUAAGGACCGGCUAAUUCCGUGCCAGCAGCCGCGGUAAUACGGAAGGUCCGGGCGUUAUCCGGAUUUAAUGGGUUUAAAGGGAGCGUAGGCCGCAUGUCAAGCGUGCUGUGAAAUGUCCGGGCUCAACCCGGGCCUUGCAGCGCGAACUGGCGUGCUUGAGUCCGCGGAAAGCAGGCGGAAUUCGUGGUGUAGCGGUGAAAUGCUUAGAUAUGACGAAGAACCCCGAUUGCGAAGGCAGCUUGCUGCAGCGGAACUGACGCUGAUGCUCGAAAGCGCGGGUAUCGAACAGGAUUAGAUACCCUAGUAGUC